UUUAAUUAUCCAAGAUGGUGGUGUGUGGCAGUAGUACGCUAGGCUAAAAACAAACCUUAACCGGCUGGCGGGCCAGUUGUCAUUGGCCAAUUGUUUGGGUUAAGUAAGCUGCAGCAGCUGUUGCGUCAGCAACAUCAGAUAGAUCAGCUCACCCAAGUCUUGGCCGGUAUUCACACCACUUCUGCUUGUGGUCUUAUGUCUCGUUCCACUACAAUGAUUUGCAAACUGUGCCAACAACCAGAAUUGGUGUGGCCAGCUAUAGCAAGAGUGUGCCUUCCUGUGUGUCGGUGGUGGUGCUUCUGGCAGUUGCAGUGCUUAAAAGAGAGGUGUUGUAUGUCUUAUGGUGUUGGGGUGCAUAUCUGUUGUUUGUCCUCUGGCAUAACGAAGCCUGUAUCCAAUUCUGGAGAGGUACCAAUUGUGAUUGUUUGUUUUUGCAUAUGAAUGAAUUUAUGUGCAAUUUGAAAUAAAGAAUUUUGUAAUUACAA
Molecule: long non-coding RNA, 485 nt
Organism: Tachysurus fulvidraco (yellow catfish)
Lineage: Eukaryota; Metazoa; Chordata; Actinopteri; Siluriformes; Bagridae
Exons: 2
Source: RefSeq, a predicted model, not a curated record